UGACCUCAAAUCAGGUAGGACUACCCGCUGAACUUAAGCAUAUCAAUAAGCGGAGGAAAAGAAACUAACGAGGAUUCCCCUAGUAACUGCGAGUGAAGCGGGAAAAGCUCAAAUUUAAAAUCUGGCGGUCUUUGGCCGUCCGAGUUGUAGUCUGGAGAAGCGUCUUCUACGCCGGACCGUGUACAAGUCCCUUGGAACAGGGCGUCAUAGAGGGUGAGAAUCCCGUCCAUGACACGGACCGCCGGCGGUUUGUGAUGCGCUCUCAAAGAGUCGAGUUGUUUGGGAAUGCAGCUCAAAAUGGGUGGUAAAUUCCAUCUAAAGCUAAAUACUGGCGAGAGACCGAUAGCGAACAAGUACCGUGAGGGAA
This 367-nucleotide ribosomal RNA is filed under the name Laetiporus sulphureus. RNAcentral describes it as "eukaryotic LSU rRNA". It matches the Rfam family "Eukaryotic large subunit ribosomal RNA", at positions 1 to 361 of the family's 3401-position model. Lineage: Eukaryota; Fungi; Basidiomycota; Agaricomycetes; Polyporales; Laetiporaceae. The record is from RNAcentral.